Long non-coding RNA from Myxocyprinus asiaticus (Chinese sucker), 1611 nucleotides. RefSeq lists it as uncharacterized. The record is from RefSeq and is a predicted model, not a curated record. Lineage: Eukaryota; Metazoa; Chordata; Actinopteri; Cypriniformes; Catostomidae. The transcript has 3 exons.
GAGAUAGCAUGCCAGAAAACACAUUUAGUAGACAUACGCUUAGAGAGAUAAUGCAAUAUGAAGCCUGAGAGAACAUUUGGAAUGCCCAAUUCCCAAUGUGCUCUAAGUCCUCGUGGUGGCGUAGUGACUCGCCUCAAUCCGGAUGGCGGAGGACAAAUCUCAGUUGCCUCCACGUCUGAGACCGUCAAUCCGCGCAUCUUAUCACGAGGCUUGUUGAGCGCAUUACCGCAGAGACCUAGCACGUGUGGAGGCUUCACACUAUUCUCCGGGGCAUCCACGCACAACUCACCUCGUGCCCCACCGAAAGCAAGAACCACAUUAUGGUGACCAUGAGGAGGUUAACCCAACGUGUCUCUACCCAACCUAGCAACCGGGCCAAUUGGUUGCUUAGGAAGCCUGACUGGAGUCACUCAGCACACCCUGGAUUCAAAUUUGCAACUCUACUCUUAGAUUCCAGCUGGUUUUGAAAAGAGCUGUUCGCUCACACACAUGAGCUGAGCCUCAUCCUGCAGUGCUGUCUGUAUUCUCUAGGCUUAGCACAGUGAACAGUGGCACCUCCCUGACUGCAAUUUUCCAUUUAAACAUGGCAGAGAUGACACCCUUUUACCAGAGGGAGACAGAACCAGCAUGUUUACUCGACAUUCUUGAAAGGUUUAUAUUGUUUUAUCCUAAGUUGUUGAAUGCUAUUCCUAUUCAGAACUUGUUGCUAUUUCGAGACAUCUCAGUGACCCCAAGGAUGAGGAUAGUGUUAGAUUGGGUGGGGCAGGGUGGAGGGCUGUAGAGAUGUAGAUAAUUUUAAAAGGAUGUAUGUUAAUUUCAUCAAAAUGAGAGAAAGGGACUAAGAGUGUAGUUGCAAUGCACUGUAGAUCAUCUCUGACAACAAGAAAAUAUGCUAAAUGUCUCUUAUAAAAAGCAAGUUACUGGUAGAUCUGACUAAUUUGAUGUGGAACUAGAUUUGUAAGUCAGAAAAAAGAUGUAAACUCUUUCGACAAGCCUCAGUCAUGAUUAAUUUUUAUUAAGGUGCAAUGAAAGUGAAUGGUGACUCAGUUCCUAACAUUCUGCACUAAAAUCUCCUGUUGUGUUCCACGGAGGAAAGAAAGUAAUACUUGUUUGGAACAACAUGAGGGUAAGUAAAUUAUGUCAGAAUUUUCAGAUUUGGGUGAACUAAGCCUUUAAAGAGAUAUAAAACUGACUUCUCGUUUAACUUUUAACUUUCUAAAGCAACUAAAACACUAAACUGAACUCACAUUCAGAUAAGAUAAAAAAAAAAAAAAAAAGGAUUUCUGCUGCUUGUUCAGUUUACUAAAUUAAAGUGAACUAAAUUGAACUAAAGCAACACAACUGACCAUUCGCUAAGCUAGGCACCCCUAAGCUCGUUCUGAAAAGCUUUGCAGAACUUCCCAUAGGAAUGAACGGGAGAUUGCCGUGAACAGAGCGUAUUUUGGCAAAAUAUUCUCAUAAACGGAAUUGACAAUAUUCUUACGUGGGCUGGAAUGAAGAGUGACACUGCAUAUUUACCUGAAGUUUUUUGUAAACUAAAUUGUUAAAUUACACAGUAAUUUGAUUGAAAACUGUGGAGACUGUGAAUCAGAAUUGAGGCAAAUUAUCAUC